UUUACACUUGUAGCUCUCCUUCUUACAAAGGAAAUGGCUCAGAAAGGAUCUGUGGUUACCUUGCCCUGCUUUAAAAUAUUAACUGCAGCCAGGGACCAGAGGGAUUGAUUUUUUGUUUUGACUUAUUGUUUGAAGAUCUGUAACUCAAAGCAGCUCUCACGCCUCUGAUGUCUAAAGCCUGAGCAGCAUAAAAGCGUGACCAGCAUUUGUCAUCAUGCCUCCCCCGCCCGCAACAUCAUUCAUAUGUCUAUAAUUGUCAUCAAGAUGUGGCAUGUCAGCAGGACUCCUGUGUUCAGAGUUCCCUCGUCUCUACGCAGUCACUCAGUUCAGGAGCUAAUACGGAGAGGCACAAACAUCUAUCAAUCUCACUUGACAUCUACUGCAGUCCUCUUACAAGAUCAAAAGUGUUUAUUUUCUGUACAUGUAUGCAGUAUGUAUAUGUAUUCAUAUAUAUCUUUGCUUACAUACCAGGCCUAGGGAACCAUUUUUCUUCUGCUAAGGGCUACAUUUUCUUAGGAGACAUCUGUUCAGGUUAAGACCAGGCUGCAGGAGGAGGUCUCCAUGAGAUUAAGCAGAGGGCCACAGGUCACCCAGCCCGAUUUGCAUGCAUUUUACACAAAAUGACAUGUGUGCACACAGAUAUUUUCAGCUCUCCAAAAGUUCUGUAGUUUCAGCUUGUCAACAGCUAUUUUAGUAUUAGCCUUUGUGUGUGUGCAAAGACUUCAGAAAUGAGAAACUUGCAUGCAAACAUGUCUAUAACAUUUGAAUAGUCUUGUUUGGAUUUCUGUAGGGAACCUGUGCCUCAAGGUUGAGCAGGGAAACUAUGCCUAAUAUAUGUUCAGCCAUUGCACCCUCUUAUAAGGAGUAACCUUCUGUUUCACGCAAGAACAAGGUUUGCUCAUUUUUAAAGGGACAUUUACUGCUCCAUAACAUGACUUUAGCACAGUGGUUCUCAAUCUGUUGGUCGGGUCCCCAGAUGUUUUGGCCUACAACUCCCAGAAAUCCCAGUCAGUUUACCAGCAUUGAUUUCUGGGAGUGGAAGGCCAAAACAUCUGGGGACCCACAGGUUGAGAACCACUACUUUAGCACAACUUCCACCAAAGAAAGAGCAAGGCUCAUGAUGAUAUAAUCAGACUCCCUUAUCUUCUCUAUCAGCAAAGCAUGUAUGUAUGUUUUGUUAGAUACCAAAAUUUAUUUUACACCUUCUUGGGUUUUCUUUUCUUUUCAAGAAACAGAGGUCUUAUAUAGUGAGCUUUAUUAGAAACUCUUUUGGAGCAUACAAUCCUUAUGAUUUCCAUCCUAUGGAAACAAAGCAAAACAACUAUCUCAAUGAUAUAGCACAUAAAUCCUACACCUGUAACAUCUUCUAAUAGCCUUAUAUUGCCAUGUUUCAGGAUGCUGGCUGAAGUCACAAAGAAUUGCUGUCUUUUCUCUGUGGCAGGCUAGGAGAGAAAUCUCAGAAUAGAUACAGAAACACUUUCCAUGUUUUGUGUGGGCUGUAGGUAUAGCAGAAUAGGAUAUGAGCCCUAACUAGAAAGAGUAAAGUUAACAGAAAAAUAUCAAUGUGUUAAGUUAACCAUUAAUAAAUAAGUUAACAAAUCUGAUUCAAUUGCUUUUAUAUUGCAAAGGGAAACAAUUUCAACUACUACACUGAUUAAAUUGCUAUUUCAAUGUACAUUAAAAGUUUAUACUAAAUCUAUGAUAGACUGGAACUCAGAAAUGCCUACUGUGUGAUUUUUCACUUCCCGUCUCCUUUUAUCCCAUCUUGAGUUUGGUAAUACAAAGAUCACCCUUCUUUCCAAGUUGAACUUACUUUUUGUCUUUUAAAAAUGUGUUAACCUUGGAAUUAAUCCUGUUCCAACCAUUAACUAACUAAAUAAAAAUUCUUA
Anolis carolinensis (green anole) is the source of this 1889-nucleotide long non-coding RNA. RefSeq lists it as uncharacterized. Lineage: Eukaryota; Metazoa; Chordata; Lepidosauria; Squamata; Anolidae. The record is from RefSeq and is a predicted model, not a curated record. The transcript is spliced from 4 exons.